This 1242-nucleotide ribosomal RNA is filed under the name metagenome. RNAcentral describes it as "bacterial LSU rRNA". It matches the Rfam family "Bacterial large subunit ribosomal RNA", at positions 1564 to 2816 of the family's 2925-position model. The record is from RNAcentral.
UGAAUACGAGACGCUAAGGCGUCGAAGUAGUGUAUAUCAUACUUCCAAGAAAAGCUUGCAAUGUCAUAGAUAAAAAACGCCUGUACCAUAACCGACACAGGUGGGUAGGUAGAGUAUACUAAGGGGCGCGAGAUAACUCUCUCUAAGGAACUCGGCAAAAUAACUCCGUAACUUCGGGAGAAGGAGUGCCUUAUUCGUAAGGUUGCAAUAACAAGAUCCAAGCAACUGUUUAUCAAAAACACAGGUCUCCGCUAAGUCGCAAGACGAUGUAUGGGGGCUGACGCCUGCCCAGUGCCAGAAGGUUAAAGAAGUUGGUUAGCAAUUGCGAAGCUGAUAACUGAAGCCCUGGUGAACGGCGGCCGUAACGAUAACGGUCCUAAGGUAGCGAAAUUCCUUGUCGGGUAAGUUCCGACCCGCACGAAAGGCGUAAUGAUUUGGAUACUGUCUCGGAGAGGGGCUCGGUGAAAUAGACUUGUCUGUGAAGAUGCGGACUACCUGCACCAGGACAGAAAGACCCUAUGAAGCUUUACUGUAACUUGAAAUUGAAAUUGGACUUUAUUCGCGCAGUAUAGGUGGGAGGCGUUGAUUAUAAUCUUGCGGGAUUAUUGGAGCCAUCAGUGAGAUACCACUCUUGUAAUGUUAGAUUUCUAACUUUGAAUCAUUAUCUGGUCAAAGAACAGUUUCAGGCGGGCAGUUUGACUGGGGCGGUCGCCUCCUAAACGGUAACGGAGGCGUACAAAGGUUUCCUCUGAACGGUUAGAAAUCGUAUCUAGAGUGUAAAGGCAUAAGGAAGCUUGACUGUGAGACCUACAAGUCGAGCAGGGACGAAAGUCGGUCUUAGUGAUCUGACGGUACUGAGUGGAAAGGCCGUCGCUCAACGGAUAAAAGUUACUCUAGGAUAACAGGCUGAUCUCCCCCAAGAGUUCACAUCGACGGGGAGGUUUGGCACCUUGAUGUCGGCUCAUCGCAUCCUGGGGCGGUAGUACGUCCCAAGGGUUGGGCUGUUCGCCCAUGAAAGCGGUACGCGAGCUGGGUUCAGAACGUCGUGAGACAGUUCGGUCCAUAUCCGGUGUAGGCGUUAGAAUAUUGAGAGGAGCCUUCUUUAGUACGAGAGGACCGAGAAGGACAUACCUCUGGUGUACCAGUUAUCGUGCCAACGGUAAACGCUGGGUAGCUAUGUAUGGAGUGGAUAACCGCUGGAAGCAUCUAAGUGGGAAGCCCACCUCAAGAUAAGUAUUCUCA